Molecule: long non-coding RNA, 3165 nt
Organism: Acanthochromis polyacanthus (spiny chromis)
Lineage: Eukaryota; Metazoa; Chordata; Actinopteri; Pomacentridae
Exons: 4
Source: RefSeq, a predicted model, not a curated record
UGCACAGGCAGGUACGUGAAAAAUGAAGUCAAAAUAGGGAUUAUAACAGCGUACAACACAAGUGACUGUGCAGUAUCACAUCAAGUCCCAUCACCUCUCACUAAAUAUACUAUUUAGUUUUGUUUGUUUUUUUGAAAGGAUAGUGCAUUUGCUUUAAUGAACAAUCAGCAAAAGUAUGUUGAAAGACUAAACUGAACAUUCAGGCCUCAAAGUAGAGAGUCAAUGCAACAAAAGUGAAUACAAGUGUGAUCACGGACACAAAACUUUUAAAAUCUGUCAUCAGUAUUAUAGUUAAAUUGAGUACGCUUGUAAUUUUCAAUCAGCCUAAUUGCAUGAAUACAAUUAUAAGACCUUGUUUGCUCUUUGGAAUAAAAAUCCAAUAUUAACAUUUGUUUUAAGAACAUUUAAAGAAGCCUGGUGAAUACAUUCUGUUGUCAGAUGAGACCGGGAUAAAUUUGUUGCAUGUUUGGUGUGAACCUAACCAGAACUCCCACAGUGGAUGGAAAUCCUGACAGUGAAGCGCUGAGUGCAAUGAUACGGGGCUGUAUGAAUGCAAGAAGUGCUGAGGAGAGGGCAUUUAUAGAUGUCACUAGGAAUAUUUGUAGAUAUACUAAAAUACUGAUAAAUAGAUAAAUACAAUAUAUUGACAAGGUUGCUUCAGUCUGUAGAAGCUUAACAGAAGCGGAAUAUUUCAGCAGGACAAUGAUUCGAAGCACCCUGCCAAAAUCAGACUUUCAAAAGAAGAGAAAAGUGAAACUAUGCCAAAUAUGUCACAUGACAGAUAUUUUAAAGUAAAAGGUGGAGCAACACAACCCCUCCUGCAAAGAGCAGCUAAAAAAUAAUCCUGAAGGAUCCUGAAGAAACAUCUCUCCAGAAAUCUGAUGUCCUCUAUGCUGAAGAGGAUUAGGUCUGUCUUAAAUUAGAAAUAUUGGCAAGCAAAGUGUAGAAAAAUUAAAGAUCAGAUUCUCAGUAAGGAGAAUUUCUACUGCAGGACCUGUAGUGAAAUACUGGCUGAUUUUCUACUUUGUUUCUUGUUCAAAUGAUUUGUAUUUAUCACCUUAUGACCAGCCAACAAAUCUGAAUUUAAACUGAGAAUUUCCAGUAUUUUUUUUUACCAAAAAUGCACCGUGGGAGUUGUACAUCUAUGUGUAUAUUUAUGGCUGUGUGUAUUUUUGCUCUCCAUAUUUGGCUAUUUUUCACCUCUUGAUUAUCUUUUUUUGCUCUACUGUUACUUUUGUUCGAUAUUUUGUUUAUUUUGUAUCCCAUUUUGAUCAUUUUGUGUUUAAUUUUGAUCAUUUUGUUUCUCGGUUUGGUCAUUUUCUAUCUUUCCAUGUUGUUUUUUGUUCCAUUUGGAUAAUUUUGCAUGUGUUUAUGGAUUUUCCUGUUCUAUGUUGGACAUUUUUUCCACUUUAUUCAUUUUAUGUCUCUUUAUGUGAUUGUUUUUGUCCCAUUUGGGUGAUUUUGUGCUUCCCUGUGCGUCUCCACACUUGUGACCACACUCUCUGAAACAAAUCAAGCACUUGUCCUGUACCUUUUUCCUGUGCAGAGACCAGCAGCGACCCUUUAGAGGGCUGAUGUCAGCAAGGAGAGAAGAGGAAGUCUGCUGACGCUGCUGAAGAGGAGUCUUGAAUCGGUACAGGACAGAAUAGAGCUGUCAGAAGAGGAACAAAGAGGUCAGCAGGAAGAGAUGUGGUGGAAAAAAUAAUUUUUCUGUCAUUUAUGUCCCGCACAUUUGUAGUAAAACUAAAUGAGUGUCUGUUCAGCGCAAUUCGACAGCAAAAAUGAGCAGAAGCAUCAGCUCGACAGUUUGCCGGUAAGAUAUGAAGAAACACUUGUAAUGUUUACAGCUUUUUACAAAAUGUGAGAGGUUUUGUUCCUGUCUGAAGCUGAAAUGUCUCAGGUUGGAAAAUACUAACCAAAAGCUCUGUUUGUGUGUCACAGGUGGCGAUUAAACACGUCCCAAAAAGCAACAAGCUUUGCAAACGUGAACCGCAGUGGAAAGCAGCUCUCCUUUGAAGUGGCUGCUAUGUUGAGGAUUCAGGCUGGUAUGGCUGGAUCGGUGGGGGCAUCGGCACCGAUAUCCCUGUUGGACUGGUAUGACCUGGGCCAGGAGCUGAUCCCGGUUCUAGAGAGACCAUUUCCUUUAGAAGACUUCUUCUGUUACGUGCAGAGCAACGGAGGCUAGCAGGAAGAGGAGGAGGCGAAGGCACUGUCAAUUACGCCCCUCCAGAGUGGCACUGCCGCCGAACCUACCGACCCGGGCCCACCACAGUGUUUCAAAUGGGGGUGGUGCUGUUUGCCGUGCUCCACAGAUACUACAAAUUUGAAACCACAAUGUAUUUCGGCCAAAGGAUUCAAAUCAGUGAUGAACUAUCCAAAGAUUGCCAGGAUUUCUUACAAAAGUGCCUCACAAUGGUCCCUGAAUGUCGGCCCAAACUGAGGGAGCUUCGUCGUCAUCCAUGGCUGAGAUAGAAACACCAAUCUCAGACACAAUACAAACAUCACGUGACAGAUAAAGCCUUAAUUAUCGUCUGUUUUUUGUCGUGCCGAAUGCAUUUUGUCAUUUUGUCAAGACUGAUGUGAACCCUCGCAAACUCGUCGAUAUAGGAAAUUAUUUCCCAAGUCUGCACGGAGUCUCACAGACUUGAGAAAUAACUAAUAUUAUUAACUAAUAAUAUUAUACAGUCAUUCAUGUUUAAAAAAAAGUAGAAGACGCAUCCUCAUCUCUUCAAGGAGAGAUGACAAAAUCUCAAUUAAACUGCAGCGUACUGGCAGAUGUAUUUAAGACAAAGAUGAUGAAAUCUUCCCAAGUCGGCACGAAGAUGAGUAAAACAUGCAGACUCACCCUCUGCUAAACUCUGUUCCUUUAUUCUAGAAUCGCUGGAUGGUACAGCAAGGAAAACUGAAAGGUCUCAUGAACUUCUAUCUUUACGAAAGCACUCUGUUAGUCGCCAUGUUUUGUUUGUUUUUGAUUCAGUUUGGUCUGAACUGUUAGAGUGAGUAAAGGGGAAAACCUAAUAUAGGGUUUUGAUAUUUCUGUUUCAUCGAAUGUCCCCACUCAACAAGGACCUGUGAGUUUACACAUUGUCUCAUUUGUGUCACUUUGUUGACUUUUUGUUUUGUCUUGUUCUCUACAUUUUGAAAACUCAAUAAAGAUAUUGAUGA